GCAGUCGAGCGGUAGAGAGGUGCUUGCACCUCUUGAGAGCGGCGGACGGGUGAGUAAAGCCUAGGAAUCUGCCUGGUAGUGGGGGAUAACGCUCGGAAACGGACGCUAAUACCGCAUACGUCCUACGGGAGAAAGCAGGGGACCUUCGGGCCUUGCGCUAUCAGAUGAGCCUAGGUCGGAUUAGCUAGUUGGUGAGGUAAUGGCUCACCAAGGCGACGAUCCGUAACUGGUCUGAGAGGAUGAUCAGUCACACUGGAACUGAGACACGGUCCAGACUCCUACGGGAGGCAGCAGUGGGGAAUAUUGGACAAUGGGCGAAAGCCUGAUCCAGCCAUGCCGCGUGUGUGAAGAAGGUCUUCGGAUUGUAAAGCACUUUAAGUUGGGAGGAAGGGCAUUAACCUAAUACGUUAGUGUUUUGACGUUACCGACAGAAUAAGCACCGGCUAACUCUGUGCCAGCAGCCGCGGUAAUACAGAGGGUGCAAGCGUUAAUCGGAAUUACUGGGCGUAAAGCGCGCGUAGGUGGUUCGUUAAGUUGGAUGUGAAAUCCCCGGGCUCAACCUGGGAACUGCAUUCAAAACUGUCGAGCUAGAGUAUGGUAGAGGGUGGUGGAAUUUCCUGUGUAGCGGUGAAAU
This 634-nucleotide ribosomal RNA is filed under the name uncultured bacterium. RNAcentral's name for it is "bacterial SSU rRNA". It matches the Rfam family "Bacterial small subunit ribosomal RNA", at positions 57 to 687 of the family's 1533-position model. The record is from RNAcentral.